AGAGUUUGAUCCUGGCUCAGGACGAACGCUGGCGGCGUGCCUAACACAUGCAAGUCGAGCGAUGAAGCCUUCGGGUGGAUUAGCGGCGGACGGGUGAGUAACACGUGGGUAACCUGCCUCAAAGAGGGGGAUAGCCUCCCGAAAGGGAGAUUAAUACCGCAUAACAUUAGAUUGUCGCAUGACAGUUUAAUCAAAGCAGUAAUGCACUUUGAGAUGGACCCGCGGCGCAUUAGCUAGUUGGAGAGGUAACGGCUCACCAAGGCGACGAUGCGUAGCCGACCUGAGAGGGUGAUCGGCCACAUUGGAACUGAGACACGGUCCAGACUCCUACGGGAGGCAGCAGUGGGGAAUAUUGCACAAUGGGCGAAAGCCUGAUGCAGCAACGCCGCGUGAGUGAUGAAGGCCUUAGGGUUGUAAAGCUCUGUCUUCUGGGACGAUAAUGACGGUACCAGGGGAGGAAGCCACGGCUAACUACGUGCCAGCAGCCGCGGUAAUACGUAGGUGGCAAGCGUUGUCCGGAUUUACUGGGCGUAAAGAAUGCGUAGGCGGAUACUUAAGUCAGAUGUGAAAUACCCGAGCUCAACUUGGGUGCUGCAUUUGAAACUGGGUAUCUAGAGUGCGGGAGAGGUAAGUGGAAUUCCUAGUGUAGCGGUGAAAUGCGUAGAGAUUAGGAAGAACACCAGUGGCGAAGGCGACUUACUGGACCGUAACUGACGCUGAGGCAUGAAAGCGUGGGGAGCAAACAGGAUUAGAUACCCUGGUAGUCCACGCCGUAAACGAUGGGUACUAGGUGUGGGAGGUAUCGACCCCUUCCGUGCCGCAGUUAACACAAUAAGUACCCCGCCUGGGGAGUACGGUCGCAAGAUUAAAACUCAAAGGAAUUGACGG
RNAcentral lists this ribosomal RNA (888 nucleotides) under uncultured bacterium. RNAcentral describes it as "bacterial SSU rRNA". It matches the Rfam family "Bacterial small subunit ribosomal RNA", at positions 8 to 916 of the family's 1533-position model. The record is from RNAcentral.